Hylaeus volcanicus is the source of this 2695-nucleotide RNA transcript. RefSeq lists it as uncharacterized. The record is from RefSeq and is a predicted model, not a curated record. The transcript is spliced from 2 exons. Lineage: Eukaryota; Metazoa; Arthropoda; Insecta; Hymenoptera; Colletidae.
UUGCUUGUUUCGUAUACGUUUAUGCAUAAUUUGCAAUUAACAUUCUAUUCAAGCCCGCACCGACAUCGACAUCGGGCAAAUUGACUCCGUAAAGUGAUAUGAAACGAGCAUUAGUUUAUUACAGUGUAGUUUCCGCUUCUCGGACAUCUUCCUUUUAAUAUCGGUAAACAUAAAACGCUGAUUAUAGCUCGCUGUUUCUGAGAACGAAACCUCGAAAAUAAACUACGGUGAUUCAACGUUGUACACUAUGUGUGCGCGAAAUAUAAAUUACGAUCCAGCUUGGAUCCGAUGUUACGGUGUAAAUCUUGAUUCAAUAGACGCUACUGCGCGAUAACUGAAACGCGAGUCUCAUUAAAACCUCGUGCUGCUUAUCGUUACGCUAAUAACAAGUUGAGCUCGCGUAUCAACUUAAUUCAGCAGCAGCUAUUGUCUGCGUUGGAGUGUAAUAUAUGCUCUAAUUGUACUUUUAAAUGCGUAAAUGUUCGCUUGUUUGUUCGCUCCAAGAUUCGGUAUUGUUAUUCAACGCUGAAACUUGUUGGCUGCACGAAGUGACAGCUAACCACGUCACUUAUUCGCCGUUUCGGCUAGUUUGUUUAACAAGUUAAGCUCGCAGAAAUCGUCUCGAGGACGAGAAUAAUACUGCUUCGUUAAGAGCCUAGUUACAAAUCGGGCGAAUUUGGCGUCUAUCCAACGCAACCUAGAGAAAUAAUAGACCAUACUACGUUCGCGUAUACUGUUCGAUCGAUACAGUGACUCCGGAGAGCAUCAUCAUUCCAAUAGUAUCGUGCAUUCUCGGUUUCCCAUUAUUGGCAUUGAUGGUCAUCUGUUGCUUAAGAAGAAGAGCGAAGCUCGCAAGAGAACGAGCCAGAAGAAGAAAUUGUGAUUUGGAUCACGGUGCCCUCAGUCUCGUUCGUUUCAGCCCUGUUCAUCGUUUAGGUGAGUUUCAUCGAAAAAUUCGACCGUCCUCCGUACUCCUAUCCUUUAAAUCUACUUUCCACUUCCGUUCUUCAACGCGUCACGAAGGCACACUGAAACUUGGAUUUAACGAAAAAUGGAUGCACUUCUUCGGUACUCGUUGUCCACUGUAUUUAAUCCGCGUUAGAAAAAUGUUGAGAGGAGUUUCUCGGCAGAUUUGUUUCUAUUGCAUUCAGCAAAUAUUAAAAGGCUCGUUUCGUUCUUCCGUUGAAAAAGAUAGAGUUCAUCGCGGUGCAGUGCUAUUGUUAAAUUCGUAAUUAAAUCGUACGGAUCUUGAAGUGAAAUGUUUUCAUGUGCACACACAUCAUAUAACGAAAAUGGAACGAGGUCACGAAACAUUUGUAUUUUAGAACCGCCCUCCUCCAGCCAGCCUCUUUACAGCUAUAUCGUAGCUUCCGUGGUCGCUUUUCUACCUAGAAACAUCGAAUGCACGCGCACACCUAUACAGUCCUUGCACUGUAGCAAAUGAAACAUACAUUUACGCUUACGUUUUCAAACUCACUGAGAACAGACAUCGAUAUACAGAGUGUCACACAUUUAACUUUUAUUCAACGAAUAACUGUUAAUAAACAGUUGUUUCCCUUUUACUUGGUAUCUAAGUAAUUUCAUCUAGGUAAGAAUUUACCAAUUUCUGGCAUGAUGCACUGCUGGUUAAGGACGGUACUAUAUAGAGAAACUGUGUACACCGAGCCUAGAUUUACGGGCCACGAAACUUGACGAAUAGCGUCCCUUUGGUCGGUGGUAAAUUCUAGUAUCGAUGUGCAUUUGUACUCCGAAAAUUAAUCAAUUUCGCUGAAAAAGUGUACAAACUGAAAUAUACAAUAUAUCCAUUAUUUUAUCAUCCCGUCAAGCGCAGCGCCUAAAGAGGAUUUAGGUAAAACUUUUUAUCAGUUUGAUUAUUGCCUGAUUUCGUCUCUAGAGACGUUAGGAGUUUAUCGUAAUCGCUGCGGUUCUUUAAUGCGCAAUUACUCGCUGUUGCCGCUUAUGCCGUAUAGCUGAAAUACAAUUUUAUUCAAGUUUCGUCGAAAGCUGAUAAAGACGCGCCAUUUGAAUGCGUGAAAUGAAUUAACAAGGACGAGAAGAACUUGUCGCAGUACCGCAAAAUUUUGGGUAUUUGUAAGCUGUGCAGAAACGCAUUUAUGAGACAUUUCCUCGCUGGUAUAUAGCCUCGCCACAGAUAUUUAAGUAUUAUAAUUUUACGCCAAACGUAUCGUGAAACUUUGCUACAUCUUGAUAUGGCUCUCGAUGCGGAAGCAUGAAUACAUUAUUUAAUAAUUCGUAAUUCGCAUGUAACCGAUCUUCGAGCACUUGUUCUGUAAACGUAGCGUAGCGAUGCAUUGAAACGGAUCUUGCAUACAACAACUGUAUUUUAACGAUUAUCCGAUUGAAGGAUAAAGUUUGAAACGCGUAAUGGUAUCAUUAGAAUGCAUUUAGUCGAUCACACUAUUCUAUUGCACACUUUGAUUCGCAGACUUGCUAGUGGACAUUUAUCGAACGGAACGCUUAUUACUCGAUUUUCUUUGAAGUAAUUAGACGUUAGUUUCGUGGUGUAAUCAAAUUUUGUUUGUCUGCAACAGCUGGGAUCGAUCGUUCGACGAGAGCGGUAUCAUUCCGGAGCGAUCGAGGAUCUAGAGCCUUCUCAUCGCUGGAUCUAGACACCGUGGUUGAAGAGAGGUCGGAUCCUGAACAGAGCACCGCACUGGAACUCAGUAGUCCAGAU